UAACAAGGAUUCCCCUAGUAACUGCGAGUGAAGCGGGAAAAGCUCAAAUUUAAAAUCUGACAGUUUCACUGUCCGAGUUGUAAUCUGGAGAAGCAUUUUCCGUGUCGGACCGUGUACAAGUCUCUUGGAAUAGAGCGUCAUAGAGGGUGAGAAUCCCGUCCAUGACACGGACUACCGAUGCUUUGUGAUAUGCUCUCGAAGAGUCGAGUUGUUUGGGAAUGCAGCUCAAAAUGGGUGGUAAAUUCCAUCUAAAGCUAAAUAUUGGCGAGAGACCGAUAGCGAACAAGUACCGUGAGGGAAAGAUGAAAAGCACUUUGGAAAGAGAGUUAAACAGUACGUGAAAUUGUUGAAAGGGAAACGCUUGAAGUCAGUCGCGUUGAUUGAGACUCAGCCUUGCUUUGCAUGGUGUACUUCUCAGUUAACGGGUCAACAUCAAUUUCAGUUGGUGGAUAAAGGCAUUGGGAAUGUGGCACCUUCGGGUGUGUUAUAGAUCUUUGUUGCAUACACUGACCGGGAUUGAGGAACGCAGCACGCCACUAAGGCCAGGGAUUCGUCCCAUGUAACGUGCUUAGGAUGUUGGCAUAAUGGCUUUAAGCGACCCGUCUUGAAACACGGACCAAGGAGUCUAACAUGCCUGCGAGUAUUAGGGUGGAAAACCCUUGUGCGUAAUGAAAGUGAAAGUUGGGACCUCUUGCGAGGGCACCGACGCCCGGCCCUGAAGUUUACUGACGGCGCUGCGGUAGAGCAUGUAUGUUGGGACCCGAAAGAUGGUGAACUAUGCCUGAAUAGGGUGAAGCCAGGGGAAACUCUGGUGGAGGCUCGUAGCGAUUCUGACGUGCAAAUCGAUCGUCAAAUUUGGG
RNAcentral lists this ribosomal RNA (860 nucleotides) under Xylodon ovisporus. Its description in RNAcentral is "partial large subunit ribosomal RNA". It matches the Rfam family "Eukaryotic large subunit ribosomal RNA", at positions 66 to 915 of the family's 3401-position model. The record is from RNAcentral. Lineage: Eukaryota; Fungi; Basidiomycota; Agaricomycetes; Hymenochaetales; Schizoporaceae.